Molecule: long non-coding RNA, 1309 nt
Organism: Oxyura jamaicensis (ruddy duck)
Lineage: Eukaryota; Metazoa; Chordata; Aves; Anseriformes; Anatidae
Exons: 3
Source: RefSeq, a predicted model, not a curated record
GGCAGGAGGGCCCUUGUUACAGCAUUUCUGGGUGGGAUGUCAGCGACUUCGGCUGAAUCCUGGAAACCUGCGCAGAAUCAGGACAACGAAACACCAGCUAUUUCUCCGUCUGGCCGCGUCCCACCUCCUAAUACAUUAAGCACUCUGACAAAGCUGUUAAUUUACCGGUGGGUCCUCCUCCAGGCGGCUCGUCCCUCUCCCUUCCCUGCCCGGUUGGGUGCCCAUCGUGCUCGGCCGCAGCAGCAGCCCCGGUGUCCUUCAUCUCCAGGGGCCGGUUACUGCCAGGCAGCGAGAGCCUCACGCUCCUGCAGCAUCGCCUCCCGCGGGGCCGGCGAUGCCUGCACCGGGACGGGGGCACGGGGGGGCUCCACAGGGCCUGUGGGGUGCCGCGGGGUGCCGCGGGGUGCUGCUGCCCUUCAGCCAGCUCCUUCUGCAAGACAGCGGGUGGGUGAGCAUCGGGGCAAGUGUUAUUCAUGGGUGCUGGUGGGGGGGUGUAUGCUUUUAUUUUUUAACCUGACUUCCUAGAAUUUCCUGAGAGAUGUCGAGGCUUGCUCCGGUCCCAGAAUAAAGCAGAUUCUGCAUUGUCCUGGGCCUGAACGGGUUAAUUUUUGUGCUUCUCUCCCCAGCUCGCUGCGGACUCUGGCUGGGACAGAACAUCUGUCUGUUGCUAUGGCUGCAGUACACUUGAAGGGGAUGACUGGAUAAUUAUUGCAAACAUCCAUCCUGCCUGAUGUGCUCCCGGACCCUCGCUGGCCUGAGCGCAGGGGCAGCGGCCGGCAGGUUGGGAGCAGAACUUGGGCCACGGAGAUCCUACCUCGGGAUGGCGUGCUGGCAACACCUUUUCAUUUGCAUAAUUAAUGAGGCCGAGGCUGCAGGGCUCCUGGGAAAUCCGACGCAGAGCAGCAGCGAUGAAAUGGCACGGAGGGCUCCAGCCUUCUCCGUGGCUCAGAGCUCUGCUCGCUGCUAACGCCCCGCUUUGGAGCUACAGGGGAGUUUGCUCUCCCAUUUCCAUUAAUUCACCACCCACUUCUAUCUGAACAGAUUGCUCCGGGCCCAAUCCUGCAAAUACCUCCUGCAGGCGUGGGUCCCUGGCCUGCCUGCUGGCAGCAGGCUCUGGCCGGAGCAGCAUGCGGGCACAUGCAGCUCCUGGCGCAAACCCCAUCGCCUUCAGUGCCGAACGCGCCAGGCAGAGGCCUCGGGAGCUGCAGGGGUCCCAGUCCUGGCACGGACCCACGGCUUCCCCAGGCUUCUCCCACCCAGGCUGGCUGCUGCACACAGCCAGGCAGCUCCUCGCUGCACUGCCCCUGCC